This 754-nucleotide long non-coding RNA is filed under the name Gossypium raimondii (Peruvian cotton). Its description in RNAcentral is "long non-coding RNA (GRAI_LNC002583)". Lineage: Eukaryota; Viridiplantae; Streptophyta; Magnoliopsida; Malvales; Malvaceae. The record is from RNAcentral.
CAAGUCUCACAAAAAGAGAUGGAAUGUGUUGAUGAUAGCGAAAAGACACAUCAAAGAAUAAAAGAAGAUGGUCUAACCUUGCUAGGGAUAGUUGGUUUGAAGGAUCCAUGUCGCCCAGGUGUCAAAAAAGCUGUGGAAGCUUGUAAAUCUGCAGGGGUGGGCAUCAAAAUGAUUACUGGAGACAAUAUUUUCACAGCAAAAGCUAUAGCUGCAGAAUGUGGAAUUCUAGGAGCAGAUUACAAUGAAGAAAGUGGACAAGCUAUAGAAGGUAUUGAAUUUCGAAAUUACACACCUGAAGAGAGAAUGGAGAAGAUCGGGAAGAUCAAGGUGAUGGCAAGGUCCUCUCCAUUUGACAAGCUUCUGAUGGUACAGUGCUUGAAACAGAAAGGUGAUGUAGUUGCGGUCACAGGUGAUGGCACUAAUGAUGCUCUUGCGCUAAAAGAAGCCGAUAUUGGACUUUCGAUGGGCAUUCAAGGCACUGAGGUGGCAAAGGAGAGCUCAGACAUUGUCAUAUUGGAUGAUAAUUUCAGCUCAGUUGCCACAGUUUUAAGAUGGGGAAGAUGUGUAUAUAACAACAUACAGAAAUUCAUUCAAUUUCAGCUUACCGUUAAUGUUGCUGCUCUUGUAAUUAACUUCAUUGCAGCAGUUUCUGCUGGUGAGGUUCCCUUGACAGCCGUUCAAUUGCUGUGGGUAAACCUCAUCAUGGACACCUUAGGUGCUCUAGCCCUUGCAACAGAUAGGCCCACCAAGGAAC